RNAcentral lists this ribosomal RNA (253 nucleotides) under uncultured bacterium. RNAcentral describes it as "partial 16S ribosomal RNA". It matches the Rfam family "Bacterial small subunit ribosomal RNA", at positions 524 to 776 of the family's 1533-position model. The record is from RNAcentral.
UACGUAGGGGGCAAGCGUUGUCCGGAAUUAUUGGGCGUAAAGAGCGUGUAGGCGGCUAGGUAGGUCCGUUGUGAAAACUCGAGGCUCAACCUCGAGACGCCGGUGGAAACCAUCUAGCUAGAGUCCGGAAGAGGAGAGUGGAAUUCCUGGUGUAGCGGUGAAAUGCGCAGAUAUCAGGAAGAACACCCGUGGCGAAGGCGGCUCUCUGGGACGUGACUGACGCUGAGACGCGAAAGCGUGGGGAGCGAACAGG